This 45-nucleotide non-coding RNA is filed under the name Schistosoma mansoni. Lineage: Eukaryota; Metazoa; Platyhelminthes; Trematoda; Strigeidida; Schistosomatidae. The record is from RNAcentral.
AUCCACCUGACGAAUCCCAAAUAGGGUGAAACGUGCAUCCUGGAU